RNA transcript from Osmia lignaria (orchard mason bee), 5314 nucleotides. RefSeq lists it as uncharacterized. The record is from RefSeq and is a predicted model, not a curated record. NCBI's taxonomy places the organism in Eukaryota, Metazoa, Arthropoda, Insecta, Hymenoptera, Megachilidae.
AUUGUGCCAUGAACUUUCUGAAAUACCAUCGUUGAAAUUUCUUUCCUGUAGAUUAGUUUAUAUAUAGGUUUUUGUAUUUUUUGUAUAAUUUAUAGAAUAGUUUAAAAUAAAAUGGAAGUAGAAGCAUCAACGGAGGAACAUGCUGUUGAGAUUAUUAGAGAAGGUGUAAGAGAACUUGUUGCUACCGAAAGAAAAGAGAGUCGGUUGAAAGUUUUAAAUAAAAAUCGUGUGGCUUUGGGAUAUACCGUCUUGGAUUCAUCUUUCACACGAAAAUUUGUUGUUGAACAGGCAGAAAUACUUAAAAAGAAACCAUUGCCAAUUGAAAGAUACAAGCAACUUCAGAAUGCUCUUAUUCAGAACGAAGAAAAUGUCAAUGCUUUUUUAAAAGUGAAUAACAUAUUGUUUGCUCUGGCACGCGAUUUCUCUGGUAACAAUCCAAUUAUACAAUUAUGUGCUAUCAGUUGUGCCUGCAAUAUUGCGCUUGGAAAUACCAAGGCUUGUACUUCAUUGGCUAAAAGUAUUGGAUCGUAUCUUACUACGGAAUUAGAUAGUUUAAACUAUCCUUUAGUAGAAGUCUCUAUAUGGACAAUGGGAAAUUUAAUUGCUGGAAGUAAUAAAGCUUUUGAAAUAUUUCACGCCCAAAGUUGUUUAAAGCAUAUUAUUUCGCUAAUGCAAAACUGUGAUAAUAUGAUUUUAUCAGCGGUAGCAUAUUGUGCCAUGCAUUAUGUGCGCGUUGGCUUUCAGCAUAUUAGCAAAAUUGAAAUGGUUGAACUUACUAGAGUUACUACAGAAAGAAGUCUUUCCUUUGAAAGUUCAUAUAUGAUUUGGUUGUUAGCUUUACUGUCUUCGCAGGAACCUUGUAACAUAUAUGUAUAUAAUGUUGUACCCUUGAUAGUGGAUUAUCUACAUCAAAGUAUUAAAAAUAAUUACACUGCUGUAACGGAGAUCACAGCAUGCAUAAGAAUAUUGGCUAACACUGUGCAGGAAACAUCUGGAAAGGUGGCAAAACUGUUUUUAGAAAAUUUAAAAUAUACCCAGUUAGAUGUAGAAACAUUGUUGAAUGGAUUACUUUCGUGUCAGUAUGUACAUAUCAGAAAAGAAACAUUGUGGUUAAUAGGAAAUCUUUAUAAUCACAAUGUUAUCAGUAUCAAAAAUACUAUUCAAAACAUCAUACCUAAGUUACCAUCCAUGAAGCAAGCAAUUUCAUCUGCAACAGAGCAGAGCAUACUGGUAAAUGCAGAUCAAAUCAGUUGAAUGGAAACGUCAUGAAUAAAUCGUCUUCCUAAUCCUACGGAAGUCCGUUCGGCUGAUGGAUCAUCCUCUAUGCAAGGUAUUUUAAUUACAUUGAAAUAUAAGUGACCCAUGAUGUGGGCAGCCGGAUGCGUUGCAGCUUUUAAACAAUAAUACAACGCCUCGUCGCACACGCAAUGCGAUCUGCAAAGCAAUAUCUCCGGUUCCACACCACUUGGUACCUACAAUGACUGAACGCCAGUUACGAUUGCUUCAAAUCAGAAGAUGCACAGUCAGUGAACAACAAACACAAGAUAUCACCUGGUAAGAUGCCUGAAAGAAGAGAUAAGACGCUCCCCAUUCCAUGAAUACUUUUGCUCAUUGUAUUUAUCAUCGAACUGGAUGUCGUAUCGUCGCGUACUUCAUCUAACAGUUCACACUGUUGCAUGAGUUUUGUCAUUUCUUGAAAUGUAACUAACUGCGGAGCCGUAAUCAACGAUAGGUUCCUUAGAACUUCAGUGGCUUCAUCUUGUUCGCUGUGACCAUGAAAUGGAUAACACUUCUGUGGGAUGCAAAAACCACUCACUAUACUUCAAUCAAGUUGCAAUUGUGCAACUCGUUGUUAGUUCCAAGGUCGACCACAGCAACAGUCUGGUCAUGGUAAUAAACAGCCCUUAUUUCGUUUCUGUUCUCCGCAUCGCUCCAUACUGUCACACCGUUCAAUCCCUUGAACGUAUUCUUGGAGAAGGUUGGCUGCUGUUUGCUGAUGCUGCUAAUCGCUACGAUUAAGAAGAAUAUCCAACAAAGAGAGUACAUUUCGAUGCUUUACGUCAUACUACGUAUCGAUGAACACUUUUUCCUUGCACAGAACCGCGUGAUUACGCGAUGGGCAUUGUUUAAGAAUUUUCCUGCCGGAAAUAGUGAAUCAAAGGAGCAGAUAGCGAACCGCAGUAGAAGAAAGACGCGGCAGCUCGAUCAUAAAUGGGAUCGAGAUAUCCGUUCUCUUCAGUUCUGUAAAAGAAACGUUUUUACACUUCCAAUUAAUUAGAACAAUUGUUAAUUUUUUAAUUAUGAAAGGAACUUUGGACACGUUUAAACAAACAUUGAUAUACAUAAUUGUAUAAUAUUGCAAAAAACACGGUCUUGUCAAAAACUAGCGUAUACAUUGCGUAAUAAAGAUUCAAACUAAAAUGUAUGCCGCUGGACAUUCUUCGAGAUGUUAAUUGUAUCGCCGCGAAAAUGUUGUACAAACGAGAAUCCGUUCCGCUGUCAAAUGUAACGCCCUCGUAUCAGAUGUUCAAUCGUGUGUCCACGGUGUUCGAAAAGCAACGAUAACAUUGGGAUGUUCGUACCUGGUCCGGUCUAUUCUGCCCUCCUCAUUCUUCGCGAUUCGAUCGCAUGCCCGUUGUUGCACGGCUGACCAGACGGGAACACACUGGAAUUUCGCGGGAACCUUCGACAAGAAUAAUCCAGACGUUAAGAGGAUUUAGAGGUAUAUCUCUUGCGAAUGAUACACGGUUUGCAUGCUUGUGAUGCACGAGCCGGUGUCAGGAAGUUCAACGUUGGCGGGCUGAACGAUCGAAUCAGGAUAUAUAGCACGACGAGUUUCAGAAGAUCCCUGAAGGAGUGGUCAGUACAUGGUGGGACGAGUGGCGGGAAUCAUGCUCUCCCUUCCAUCGCCAUUCGUGGCCAGAGCAUGCUUAUCGAUCUAGACGCGUUACAAGCGUAUACACCUGUGGCUCCCCCACUAUGCCUCUUACUUUAUCACCGAUGUUACAUGAUGUUACCUGACGAACAAGGGGGAGGGCCCACAUUCGAGAAGACUAGGACAAAGAAAGUGGGACAAAGAGUAGAGAAUUAUGCGACUAGUACAUGGCCAGUGUGUACAUCGGAACGUUUCAGAAAUCCGAGAGAAAUUAGAAUCGGCGAGGUUCGCUACCGCGUUGCACGCCCCUUCCGAUGAAUUUCGAAACACCUGUUGAGUCUCGUAAUCAGAGAACCGGAGAUAAACUUGUACUUUUUACACUUGAUUUAUUUUCUCGUACGUUCUGGAACGAUUUAAUUUUGAAUUUAUGAUUUAACAGCUUGUAAAUGUCAAAAAUUGUAACUCAUAAAUGAUAUAUGUACUUAAAAAUUUUUAAAUACGAUUAUUGCAGUAUUCAACGUUUAAGUCGUUAGUGUCCUGUACAAACGAUAUGAACGUAAUUUAAGAGCGUUUAGUUAACGAGGAUAGAAAUGUACGCGAAUACAAUAAUUUCUCUAAGACUGGCUCGAUUUCAAGGGUUGUUGUUCGUGCGACGAGGCGUUAGUCUUAGAGGCUCCGUUCACCGGGUACUGAUUUCCAAUCCGGGUGGUGCUUAGAGUGAUACUAAUUGGCGUAGCGUUCAAAAGUUGUUGACGAACUGGGCACUGUCGGUAGCCUGUAAUUGAAAAUACAAAGAACAAUAUUAGACGUUCGUUAAGAAAACGUGACUAAUAGUUACGUAUAGUUAAUGAACUCGUUAACCCUUUCAACGAUCCACCAUCACUGAUUUCAAGUAUAAAUUAUGCGUUUUUCGUGCGCUGACGUCAACAACAGAUAAUAGGAGAGCGAUUUCUCGAAAAGAGAGAAAUAAGAAUAUCUAAUCGGUUCUUCAUUCGCCGUUGGAACUUCACGAAAAAAGAAGUUACGUGUUGUGUUAAAUUUUAGAUAAAAUAAUGUUCGUAUCUUUGACCGUUCAAUGUACAUACAGUGGGUGAUCAAAUUAUUAGAGCCAUUUUAAGGUUUUUACAUUGUGUAACUUUUAAUCAAUAAUUCUCCACUAAUAAUAUACAAAAAAAUUACUUAUAAAAAUAAGCAAAUACAUUUAAAAGAUUAUAUUUACAGAUGUAAUGUUAGUAUCUCGUAACGCCGCCUUUUGCUGCAAUUACUGCCACAAUUCUUUUUUACUGGCACAUACUUUUAUCAGAUGUUGAAUCAAUUAACAUUCAUUAUUAUCACGUUGAACGCCACUAAUAAUUGAAGCUCUAAUUAUUAAGAAUAGAAAUAGUUAAUUUUCAAAUUUCAAGCUUUCUAUUUACCAUUUUACAUUAUAUGUACCAUAACUAUUGUUUUCUUUUAAUUAUUCAGGCACGUGUAAUUUGCGGUGUCGGUCACCGGUGACCCCCAUGGCGUUCAACGUGUAAUAGAAAAUGUUCCCACAAAUUUUUGAUGGGGUUGAGGUCCAGAGAAUUUUCCUUUUUUCAACUGUGUAUCAUAACUUUACAUAUCAUAAAAAAGUAACAAAGUGGCUCUAAUAAUUUGACCACCCACUGUACAUUGUACGAGAAUUUUCGUUUCCUCUUUCGUAGCCUUGCAAAUGACAGACAGAUUUGGCUCGAUGACAAUUUUAAAGAUAAAACAAACUUGUAUUAAUUUGUCAUUAUGAUUUCUGACGAAACACACGAUACAAGUAUUUGUAAUGCCCCUGUGACCGCGUAGCUGGCGAUAUGAUAAUUUUCUGAUAUUUCACUAUAAGGAAACAAGAGAAAUUCUAGUAAGGGACCACCAAGAGGUUCUCUUAAUAUUUCAUCUCAGGUCAGAAGAUUUUGCAUCUUAUUACUAUAUAAAAAUUAAUAUACCAGCAUGAUGCGGUCCGGAACAGUGACAACAAAUAGGAUUGUUUCGUGGCCUGGGACAAAAUUCAACGCUGUGCGGUUCACCGCACCGAACGCAACGCGUACACCGUCUCCUGUUUGGAAGUUCGAUGCCUCGAGAAAAUUAUUUACGAUUCCUGGGCCAGCUUGCAACGGUCCAGCGGCAUUUCCAGUCCCGCCGCGCCACCAGCGCUCCGGAACCGCGGUAAAUCGGGCUGCGCCGAAAAAGUCCAAGCCUUGACGCAACAAUAGCUCGUAGUGUCCUGCAUCGAGUACCUGAAACGAAUAUCAAUGAGUUAACGUGAAUUUCUUACAAGCAUCAUUUUAUGAAUCAUAGUCUUUAAUACGAGAUUAGAGUUUUUGAGGUCGUUUAUCAGAUAAUCGGGUUAUCGAAAAACGUUGUACGUAUUUGCAAUUCAACGUUAAAUUAACUCGUAGUAUAAUAAUAAUAAUAAUAAUAAUAAUUUCU